This 495-nucleotide ribosomal RNA is filed under the name uncultured bacterium. RNAcentral describes it as "partial 16S ribosomal RNA". It matches the Rfam family "Bacterial small subunit ribosomal RNA", at positions 28 to 507 of the family's 1533-position model. The record is from RNAcentral.
GAUGAACGCUGGCGGCGUGCCUAAUACAUGCAAGUAGAACGCUGAAGGCGGAGCUUGCUCUUCUGGAUGAGUUGCGAACGGGUGAGUAACGCGUAGGUAACCUGCCUUGUAGCGGGGGAUAACUAUUGGAAACGAUAGCUAAUACCGCAUGACAACAGUUAUUGCAUGAUAACUGUUUAAAAGUGGCGACUGCUCCACUACCACAUGCACCUGCGUUGUAUUAGCUAGUUGGUGAGGUAACGGCUCACCAAGGCGACGAUCCAUAGCCGACCUGAGAGGGGGAGCAGCCGCACUGGGAGGGAGACACGGCACAGAGGCCUACGGGAGGCAGCAGGAGGGAAACGGGGGGAAGGGGCGGAAGACUGACCGAGAAAGGCCGAGGGAGUAAAGAAGAAUGUCGGAUCGGAGAGCACGGUUGUAGGGGAAGAAAGAGUGUGAGAGUGGAAAGAACAGACAGUGACGGUAACGGACAAGAAAGAGACGGCUAACUACGUG